This 253-nucleotide ribosomal RNA is filed under the name uncultured bacterium. RNAcentral describes it as "partial 16S ribosomal RNA". It matches the Rfam family "Bacterial small subunit ribosomal RNA", at positions 524 to 776 of the family's 1533-position model. The record is from RNAcentral.
UACGUAGGGUGCGAGCGUUGUCCGGAAUUACUGGGCGUAAAGAGCUCGUAGGCGGUUUGUCACGUUGUUCGUGAAAACUCACAGCUCAACUGUGAGCGUGCGGGCGAUACGGGCAGACUAGAGUACUGUAGGGGAGACUGGAAUUCCUGGUGUAGCGGUGGAAUGCGCAGAUAUCAGGAGGAACACCGGUGGCGAAGGCGGGUCUCUGGGCAGUAACUGACGCUGAGGAGCGAAAGCGUGGGGAGCGAACAGG